GAUUUCUGGCUUGAAGCAUGUUGCCGGCCACGGUUUCGUGUGUUAGUGCUUUAUGCUCUGGCCAUCCUUCUCAUCGCUUCUGGCGCUUCUUCAUUGAGGCUGUCAGGGGUAUGGGAUCUUUUACUUUGAAAAAAUUAGAGUGUUUCAAGCAGGCUUUAUGCUAUGAAUACAUUAGCAUGGAAUAAUAAUUUAGGACUUCGGUUCUAUUUUGUUGGUUUCUAGGACUGAAGUAAUGAUUGAUAGGGAUAGUUGGGGGUGCUAGUAUUCAGCGGCCAGAGGUGAAAUUCUCGGAUUCGCUGAAGACUAACUUAUGCGAAAGCAUU
This 323-nucleotide ribosomal RNA is filed under the name Sandonidae sp. RNAcentral describes it as "SSU rRNA". The stretch from base 51 to 323 matches the Rfam family "Eukaryotic small subunit ribosomal RNA", at positions 682 to 955 of the family's 1831-position model. Lineage: Eukaryota; Cercozoa; Glissomonadida; Sandonidae. The record is from RNAcentral.